Molecule: ribosomal RNA, 184 nt
Filed under: Corynebacterium efficiens
Lineage: Bacteria; Bacillati; Actinomycetota; Actinomycetes; Mycobacteriales; Corynebacteriaceae
Description: partial 16S ribosomal RNA
Rfam family: Bacterial small subunit ribosomal RNA
Source: RNAcentral
CGGUCCAGACUCCUACGGGAGGCAGCAGUGGGGAAUAUUGCACAAUGGGCGCAAGCCUGAUGCAGCGACGCCGCGUGGGGGAUGACGGCCUUCGGGUUGUAAACUCCUUUCGACAGGGACGAAGCUAACGUGACGGUACCUGUAGAAGAAGCACCGGCUAACUACGUGCCAGCAGCCGCGGUAA